Molecule: ribosomal RNA, 426 nt
Filed under: Pseudomonas sp. IC_126
Lineage: Bacteria; Pseudomonadati; Pseudomonadota; Gammaproteobacteria; Pseudomonadales; Pseudomonadaceae
Description: bacterial SSU rRNA
Rfam family: Bacterial small subunit ribosomal RNA
Source: RNAcentral
GGGAAUCUUCCGCAAUGGACGAAAGUCUGACGGAGCAACGCCGCGUGAGUGAUGAAGGUUUUCGGAUCGUAAAACUCUGUUGUUAGGGAAGAACAAGUACGAGAGUAACUGCUCGUACCUUGACGGUACCUAACCAGAAAGCCACGGCUAACUACGUGCCAGCAGCCGCGGUAAUACGUAGGUGGCAAGCGUUGUCCGGAAUUAUUGGGCGUAAAGCGCGCGCAGGCGGUCCUUUAAGUCUGAUGUGAAAGCCCACGGCUCAACCGUGGAGGGUCAUUGGAAACUGGGGGACUUGAGUGCAGGAGAGAAGAGUGGAAUUCCACGUGUAGCGGUGAAAUGCGUAGAGAUGUGGAGGAACACCAGUGGCGAAGGCGACUCUUUGGCCUGUAACUGACGCUGAGGCGCGAAAGCGUGGGGAGCAAACAG